GCCAAUGCAUGCUUUUACAGUAUGAAAAUUGGUGAUUUAUAAUAACUUAGCAAAUCGCAAAGUGAAAACAGGCGAUAAAUCAUUCAAGUUUCUGACCUAUCAGCUUUCGACGGUAUGGUAUUGGCUUACCGUGGCAGUGACGGUUAACGGGGGAUUAGGGUUCGAUUCCGGAGAGGGAGCCUGAGAAACGGCUACCACAUCUAAGGAAGGCAGCAGGCGCGCAAAUUACCCAAUUCUAACAGUUUGAGAGAGGUAGUAACAAGAAAUAACAAUACAAGGCAGUUAAAAUGCUUUGUAAUUGGAAUGAUAGAAAUUUAAACCCUUUUUAAAGUAUCAAUUGGAGGGCAAGUCUGGUGCCAGCAGCCGCGGUAAUUCCAGCUCCAAUAGCGUAUAUUAAAAUUGUUGCAGUUAAAAAGCUCGUAGUUGAAGUUCUGCUAAAAGUAACCGGUCUGCUUUGAAUAAAAGUGGUAUCUUGGUAUGUAUUUAGCAAUGAUGUCCUUUGAAGUGUUUUUUACUUUAUUGUAAUAAAGCAUAUUCAGGACUUUUACUUUGAGAAAAUUAGAGUGUUUCUAGCAGGCCAACGCUUUGAAUACUGCAGCAUGGAAUAAUA
This 610-nucleotide ribosomal RNA is filed under the name Hepatozoon canis. Its description in RNAcentral is "SSU rRNA". It matches the Rfam family "Eukaryotic small subunit ribosomal RNA", at positions 221 to 819 of the family's 1831-position model. The record is from RNAcentral. Lineage: Eukaryota; Apicomplexa; Hepatozoidae.